Molecule: long non-coding RNA, 178 nt
Organism: Solea senegalensis (Senegalese sole)
Lineage: Eukaryota; Metazoa; Chordata; Actinopteri; Pleuronectiformes; Soleidae
Exons: 2
Source: RefSeq, a predicted model, not a curated record
CCACCUACAGAAGAGAAAGAGGUGAAACCUACCAAAGAAAAGAAAGAAGCCAAGAAACCAUCUAAAGAAGAUAAAGUGGUGAAGCUUCCCAAAGAAGAGAAAGAAGUCAAGAAACCAUCUACAGAGAAAGAGGUAGAAAAGCCUGCAAAAGAAGAAAAAGAGCUUAAAAUACCACACA